Molecule: long non-coding RNA, 550 nt
Organism: Ctenopharyngodon idella (grass carp)
Lineage: Eukaryota; Metazoa; Chordata; Actinopteri; Cypriniformes; Xenocyprididae
Exons: 3
Source: RefSeq, a predicted model, not a curated record
GAUAACAGAAGAGAAACUGAUGACUCUGAGGAGCAGACAGAUGAUCAUGUGACUUAUUCUGAGGUCACUGCAUACAGUAAAAACCAAGACAAAAAGAACAAGGUUCGCUGUGAUGAUAAAGUGACUUAUGCUUCCAUCAGAGGAGCAAAAGCUGGAUCUCAGGAAAACUGCAGUGAACUUUAUGCCUCUGUGAACUAGAACCAUCACAAAUCAGUCAAAUAAUUAAGAAUAUGAAUAUUACAUAACUUACUCCUUAUGGUUUCAUUCAGUGCCAUUAUAAAUACUUUCAAUGUCUUUUACAUGUUAACAAACAAACCCAAGUGAUGCUCUGAUUUAUUUGUAGUUAUUGGUUAUUUUUCUCAGUUCAGCAUGUUUUUUGUAUAGUCUGUUUGUUGAUCAGUUAAUGCUAGUGUCUUUAUUAUUAAUUCAGAGUUGCAGGUUUGUACAAAGUCUAGAAAAUGAGGACAGUUUUACUCUCUUAGAUCAUUCUCAUUAAAUCAUCUAUUUUAUUGAGCGGUUAAUUAACUGUCAUCUUGCACUAAUUAUGAAA